Lathyrus oleraceus (garden pea) is the source of this 1356-nucleotide long non-coding RNA. RefSeq lists it as uncharacterized. The transcript has 4 exons. Lineage: Eukaryota; Viridiplantae; Streptophyta; Magnoliopsida; Fabales; Fabaceae. The record is from RefSeq and is a predicted model, not a curated record.
UUUUUUUUCAAAACACUGGACUUUCUUCGCUUAACAAUACUCGUUGGUUUUUUCUAAUUCCAAGUUAAUCGAUUAUCAUCUAUUCUCAGCUCAAUAUGAAUUCUGAUGAAAAUCAGUUGAAUGAGGAUUUGCAAGAGGUGAAUAAUGUUUCACCUGAAAAUAAUUUGUCUGAAGAUCUAAUAAGUAAUCACUCAUAUGAAUAUGAUGAUGAUCAAUCGGAUGAGGAUUUUUAUGAGGAUCUAGAUCAGUUAGCUGAGGAUAUUCAUCAGUAUCCGAGGAAUAUGCAGCAGAAUGAUCAUCUAAAUAGGUUGAAUGAGGAUAUUCAUGAGUAUGAGAGGCAUCUGCAGCAGAAUGAUCAUCUAGAUCAUCAGUGGAAUGGAGUUUUUUAUGGGCAUAGGAGGAAUCUGCAGCAGAAUGAUCAUCAGUAGAAUGGGGUUUUUUAUGGGCAUACGAGGAAUCUGCGGCAGAAUGAUCAUCUAAAUCGGUUGAACGAGGAUAUUCAUGAGUACGAGAGGAAUCUGCAGCAGAAUGAUCAUCUAGAUCAUCAGUGGAAUGAGGUUUUUUAUGGGCAUAGGUGGAAUUUGCGGCAGAACGAUCAUCAGCGCAAUGGGGUUUUUUAUGGACAUAGGAGGAAUCUGCGGCGGAAUGAGCAUCUAAAUCGGUUGAAUGAGGAUAUUCAUGAGUAUGAGAGGAAUCUGCAGCAGAAUGAUCAUCUAGAUCAUCAAUGGAAUGAGGUUUUUUAUGGGCAUAGGAGGAAUGUGCAGCAGAAUGAUCAUCAGUGCAAUGGGGCUUUUUAUGGGCAUACGAGGAAUCUGCGGCAGAAUGAUCAUCAGGGCAAUGGGGUUUUUUAUGUACAUAGGAGAAAUCUGCGGCAGAAUGGUCAUCAGUGCAAUGAGUUUUUUUAUGGGCAUAAGAGGAAUCUGCAGCAGAAUGAUCAUCAGUGCAAUGGGAUUUUUUAUGGGCAUACGAGGAAUCUGCGGCAGAAUGAUCAUCAGUGCAAUGAGGUUUUUUAUGGGCAUAGGAGGAAUCUGCAGCAGAAUGAUCAUCAUUGCAAUUGGAUUUUUUAUGAGCAUACGAGGAAUUUGCGGCAGAAUGAUCAUCAGUGCAAUGUGGUUUUUAAUGGACUUAGGAGGAAUCUGCGGCAGAAUGCAAUUUUUGAGCAUUCUUACCGUUGUUUUUCGGUCUCAUCUCUCGAUAGGCCAAAAUUCUGGAAUGUGGUGAUAAAAGUAUGUGCACUAACAUCUUACUUGGUUACAUUUUAUUCUUUUGUAUCAAUCAUCAAUCAUUGUGAUAAUUUCAAUAGCUAAUGCAAAUUCUCUUUUCUUUCGGUUAUCAUGCCUGCUUCGGCUCUAGAAU